Molecule: non-coding RNA, 623 nt
Organism: Peromyscus maniculatus bairdii (prairie deer mouse)
Lineage: Eukaryota; Metazoa; Chordata; Mammalia; Rodentia; Cricetidae
Source: RefSeq, a predicted model, not a curated record
AUCCUGGGAGGGGAAUGGGCUGAUGGCCUGUCUUUUGGACCCUCGGAGGGAAGAGGGGGCUGCAAGCCUGGGACUCUGGGUCCAGCUCACCACUCCUCCUCCAUUUCCCAACAAGAUAACACGUAUUCAUUCAUCCUUUCAACAAACAGGCAUUUAUCAAGCCCUGCCGGUGCCAGGCACUGUGCUGGGCUGCCAGGUCUGAAGGAGGGUUGGAGGAGGCAAAGAUGGAGAUGAACGGAACAGCGAGUGAUACAAGCUUGAGAGUGUUCCCGCACUCCCUGAUAGAGCCUGACUCCCGCUUUCCCUUGGUUGCCUGGGCAACCAAUUCUCUCUGCUCGGAGCCUCAGUUUCCCCCUUUAUGCCCAGAUCCUCAGCACGCCUGUCCUGACACUCUGGACUACUCCACUCUGUCUGAAGAGGCACCCCCACGUGGCUGCUUGCAGACCUUCAGUGGUGAACCUGCUGCCUUCUCUCCUGGACUAACUAGGAAGGGAUGUCUUUCUCGCCCCCCUUCUGCCUCUCCAGCCCCCAGCCACGCCCCAGAGCUGCCAAGAUUUAUAGCUGCCCUUUCCUAUUUUUCUUUCAAAUUCUAAUAAAUUCUAAUAAAAUGAUUCCUAAGCUUC